UGUCUACUGUGCUUGCUGGCAGCCUAGCCACAGGAGGACAGAGAGAGAAAAGUCCAAUCAACAUGAUAUCAUCAAUAUAAUGGACCAGUGUGAUGUCUUAUGGAAUGGAGAGAUGAUCAACGUCUCUGUAGACAAUAUCAUGAUAUACGGCUGAAGAGUUGAUACACCCCUGAGUUCUGCUGACUUCUGGCUUCUGACUCCUGCCAGUGGCUUUCUUCAUAUAAGGCUCCACUAAUAGGAUUAAAACCCACCCUGAUUCACUUGACCAUGUCUUAACUAAAAAUAGCAUAUUCAAAUGUCCUACUUAUAAUGGGUUUGCCCCUACAGGGACAUGGAUUAAGGUGAAGAACAUGUUUGUUUGUUUGUUUGUUUUCCUGGGGUGCAUAACUCAGUCUGCCACGAAGGCCUAAUAUGCAAAAUAAAU
Long non-coding RNA from Choloepus didactylus (southern two-toed sloth), 424 nucleotides. RefSeq lists it as uncharacterized. The record is from RefSeq and is a predicted model, not a curated record. The transcript is spliced from 3 exons. Lineage: Eukaryota; Metazoa; Chordata; Mammalia; Pilosa; Megalonychidae.